RNAcentral lists this ribosomal RNA (357 nucleotides) under Triticum aestivum (bread wheat). RNAcentral describes it as "partial small subunit ribosomal RNA". Lineage: Eukaryota; Viridiplantae; Streptophyta; Magnoliopsida; Poales; Poaceae. The record is from RNAcentral.
AUGGUGAUUAAAGCUCAGCAAAAUGGCUUGUUCAAAGGGUUAGCAUCUGAUUUGAUCCCAAAUGGGGUGGCUAUCUUGCAAUAUGCAGAUGACAUGAUCCUAUGCUUCGAGGAUAAUCUUAGAAAUGCUCUUAAUAUUAAGCUGCUGUUAUAUCUUUUUGAAGUCAUCUCUGGGUUGAAAAUCAAUUUUCUAAAGAGUGAAAUAUUUUCGAUACGUGCUGAUGAUACUACUAUGCAAAAAUAUGCUGCGAUGUUUAUCUGCCAGAUAGGUAACUUUCCUAUCAAAUACCUAGGCAUGCCUGUGAGCUAUGCUGGUUUGAAGUGUAGUGACUGGGCCUUUGUAGAUGACAAAUUCAUU